AGUGAACGCUGGCGGUAGGCCUAACACAUGCAAGUCGAGCGGCAGCACAGUAAGAGCUUGCUCUUACGGGUGGCGAGUGGCGGACGGGUGAGGAAUACAUCGGAAUCUACUUUUUCGUGGGGGAUAACGUAGGGAAACUUACGCUAAUACCGCAUACGCCCUACGGGUGAAAGCAGGGGAUCUUCGGACCUUGCGCGAUUGAAUGAGCCGAUGUCGGAUUAGCUAGUUGGCGGGGGAAAGGCCCACCAAGGCGACGAUCCGUAGCUGGUCUGAGAGGAUGAUCAGCCACACUGGAACUGAGACACGGUCCAGACUCCUACGGGAGGCAGCAGUGGGGAAUAUUGGACAAUGGGCGCAAGCCUGAUCCAGCCAUACCGCGUGGGUGAAGAAGGCCUUCGGGUUGUAAAGCCCUUUUGUUGGGAAAGAAAAGCAGCAGGUUAAUACCCCGCUGUUCUGACGGUACCCAAAGAAUAAGCACCGGCUAACUUCGUG
Molecule: ribosomal RNA, 492 nt
Filed under: uncultured bacterium
Lineage: Bacteria
Description: partial 16S ribosomal RNA
Rfam family: Bacterial small subunit ribosomal RNA
Source: RNAcentral